Molecule: ribosomal RNA, 253 nt
Filed under: uncultured bacterium
Lineage: Bacteria
Description: partial 16S ribosomal RNA
Rfam family: Bacterial small subunit ribosomal RNA
Source: RNAcentral
UACGAAGGGUGCAAGCGUUACUCGGAUUUACUGGGCGUAAAGCGCGUUCAGGCGGUUUGGCAAGUCGGGCAUGAAAUCUCUCGGCUCAACCGGGAGAGGUUGUCCGAUACUGCCGGACUGGAGGGCAGUAGAGGGUGGUGGAAUUCCGGGUGUAGUGGUGAAAUGCGUAGAGAUCCGGAGGAACACCAGUGGCGAAAGCGGCCACCUGGACUGCACCUGACGCUGAAACGCGAAAGCUAGGGGAGCGAACGGG